UAUUAAAGAUUUUAAUGAGAGUUUGAUCCUGGCUCAGGACGAACGCUGGCGGCGUGCCUAAUACAUGCAAGUAGAACGCUGAAGAGAGGAGCUUGCUCUUCUUGGAUGAGUUGCGAACGGGUGAGUAACGCGUAGGUAACCUGCCUUGUAGCGGGGGAUAACUAUUGGAAACGAUAGCUAAUACCGCAUAACAAUGGAUGACACAUGUCAUUUAUUUGAAAGGGGCAAUUGCUCCACUACAAGAUGGACCUGCGUUGUAUUAGCUAGUAGGUGAGGUAACGGCUCACCUAGGCGACGAUACAUAGCCGACCUGAGAGGGUGAUCGGCCACACUGGGACUGAGACACGGCCCAGACUCCUACGGGAGGCAGCAGUAGGGAAUCUUCGGCAAUGGGGGCAACCCUGACCGAGCAACGCCGCGUGAGUGAAGAAGGUUUUCGGAUCGUAAAGCUCUGUUGUAAGUCAAGAACGAGUGUGAGAGUGGAAAGUUCACACUGUGACGGUAGCUUACCAGAAAGGGACGGCUAACUACGUGCCAGCAGCCGCGGUAAUACGUAGGUCCCGAGCGUUGUCCGGAUUUAUUGGGCGUAAAGCGAGCGCAGGCGGUUUGAUAAGUCUGAAGUUAAAGGCUGUGGCUCAACCAUAGUUCGCUUUGGAAACUGUCAAACUUGAGUGCAGAAGGGGAGAGUGGAAUUCCAUGUGUAGCGGUGAAAUGCGUAGAUAUAUGGAGGAACACCGGUGGCGAAAGCGGCUCUCUGGUCUGUAACUGACGCUGAGGCUCGAAAGCGUGGGGAGCGAACAGGAUUAGAUACCCUGGUAGUCCACGCCGUAAACGAUGAGUGCUAGGUGUUGGAUCCUUUCCGGGAUUCAGUGCCGCAGCUAACGCAUUAAGCACUCCGCCUGGGGAGUACGACCGCAAGGUUGAAACUCAAAGGAAUUGACGGGGGCCCGCACAAGCGGUGGAGCAUGUGGUUUAAUUCGAAGCAACGCGAAGAACCUUACCAGGUCUUGACAUCCCGAUGCUAUUUCUAGAGAUAGAAAGUUACUUCGGUACAUCGGUGACAGGUGGUGCAUGGUUGUCGUCAGCUCGUGUCGUGAGAUGUUGGGUUAAGUCCCGCAACGAGCGCAACCCCUAUUGUUAGUUGCCAUCAUUCAGUUGGGCACUCUAGCGAGACUGCCGGUAAUAAACCGGAGGAAGGUGGGGAUGACGUCAAAUCAUCAUGCCCCUUAUGACCUGGGCUACACACGUGCUACAAUGGUUGGUACAACGAGUUGCGAGUCGGUGACGGCAAGCUAAUCUCUUAAAGCCAAUCUCAGUUCGGAUUGUAGGCUGCAACUCGCCUACAUGAAGUCGGAAUCGCUAGUAAUCGCGGAUCAGCACGCCGCGGUGAAUACGUUCCCGGGCCUUGUACACACCGCCCGUCACACCACGAGAGUUUGUAACACCCGAAGUCGGUGAGGUAACCUUUUGGAGCCAGCCGCCUAAGGUGGGAUAGAUGAUUGGGGUGAAGUCGUAACAAGGUAGCCGUAUCGGAAGGUGCGGCUGGAUCACCUCCUUUCUA
This 1561-nucleotide ribosomal RNA is filed under the name Streptococcus salivarius. RNAcentral describes it as "bacterial SSU rRNA". It matches the Rfam family "Bacterial small subunit ribosomal RNA". Lineage: Bacteria; Bacillati; Bacillota; Bacilli; Lactobacillales; Streptococcaceae. The record is from RNAcentral.